Molecule: long non-coding RNA, 915 nt
Organism: Egretta garzetta (little egret)
Lineage: Eukaryota; Metazoa; Chordata; Aves; Pelecaniformes; Ardeidae
Exons: 3
Source: RefSeq, a predicted model, not a curated record
GCUCCAGCAGAUAAGGACAGCAUGGAAUACUGUAGGGUAUGUGAUGACUGUUCACUGUGGCUGGUUCCUUCUGCUGAUAUCAGAAGAUGUUAUAUGCCUUUUUGCUUCCCUCAUUGAUCUUAAGGCUCAAACUUCUAAGCAUUGACUGACUUUCUUUUUCAUGCAUUGCAAAACCAGGGAUUUCAUUGAAGGGGAGCGUUCCAAGCUGCUUUUGAGACACCUGAUGGUGUCUCAUCAGGAGACAAGAGGAUAUUACUAAACCGAUUUCUUGAAAAGGAUCCUUCAGGAUACAUUGCUGCCACUGUGUGUUAGUGGUACGGCCGCAGGUGGGACCCAGUUGAAACUGGUGCAGCGAGUGCCUGAGCCAGCACAGCAGAGCAGCACGGGCAGCUGCUGCACCAGUGUGGGGCCGCAGAUUAGGCAAGGCUAAUUUGUGUUGUGCCCUAUUACAGCCUCACUGCGGCUCCCAGUGAAACGGCCCAGGCCUCGUGCGGUGCAAGCCACUCGCCCCAGCCUGCUGAAGACCAAAGCGCCCAGCCCGAGGACCCUGAUGAAGCUGUGACCGUACUGACAGCUUCCUCUGUCUCCUGCCUCCCAUUCAGCUGCAUGUGAAAGCAUCUUCCAGCCAAGAAGUAUGGAUUUAAUUGACUGCGUGGAUUUGCAACCAUCAGUUCAGCAGCUGCUUCAUGAGCCAUCCUUGCAGGAGGGAAACCUCAGAGAGAUGGAUUCCUCGAACUAGAAGGAUACAACAGGUUGCAGUAUCGGACUGCAGCAAAGUCCCACCUGUGCUACUCUACCCUUCCCGAGCCCGCGGUGCUGGGGCUGUGCCGCCGUUGGGGUAAGCACUGGGCUCCAGGAGCCCGCUCUGCGGUACAGCAUCCCAGGGUUACAAGCACGCUGCUCAGGUUUAGCAAA